UUGAGUUUCACAAAUAUCUUGAGUGUGUUGUUGAUGCUUCAUCUUUCUCUUUUGUUGAGAGUAUUUUCUAUUUCCAAUUUUUCAUUAGAAUAUGAUGGUCUAUUUGAGAAUUUUGAUGCAUGUACACAUUUUAUUUGUUUUGACAUUUUUUUUUCUAGAUAUUUUCCUCUUACACUGUUAUAGACUGAGCUCUAAUACCAAUUGAAGUUGAUAGAAAUGUCACUAGAAGAAUGGUUGAAUAGUGACCCCUUUAAAAUUUUGCUUUUAAUCUUUGAAACAAGCUUUAUCAAUAAAAACUAUGAAUCAUACAAUAUAAUAAAGCAAAAGGAGUAUUUUGGCAAGUUUGCCAUUUGUCACAUUAUUAGAGUGUUUUCUAUUUUUAAAAAUACUAUUAAUAGAAAUAUUACUAUAUUUAUCUGUAUAUUUAUUUUUAUAUUUAAUUAAUUAUUUUAUUAAUUUGUUUACACAAACAAUUAAAUUUAGGCACGGCUAAUCAAUGUAUAUUUGAUUUUCAAGAUAUUUGAUUUAUUUUCCUUAAAAGAAUAGACCGCUGCAACUAUACCAUUACUCCACCUUUUAUUUCAUACUCUUGGAAACCAUCAUUCCUGUUUUUACGCUUUGCCCUAUUAUCUAUAGGAAGUCUCCAAAAUUUAAUAGGUUUCCAAUAAAACUUUCUACAUUCCAAAGAAAUAAAUAAAAAUGCAUUGAUUUGAACCGUUUGCUUUUUUUCAAUAUAGCUUUUUCGCUUUCUUAAUUUUCUAUGCAAAUUACAAUAGAACCAUAGCUGAUUUCAAUAAACGCUAAGAGAGAACAACUUUUUGAGAAAGUCCUAAUCGCAUUUCAAAGAGAGAAAACUCACCAGCCAUGGCAGUCGCUUCUCGCAUCGCAUCCAAAUACAAAUUGACAGAAGAAGGAAAAUAGACCAACUCAAGUUCAUAAACUUUUAAGAGAAAUGGAAUCAAAGAGAAGAGGAUAGGAUCUGAGCAUCCUGAGUUUUUUCCUAAAAAUCGUGAGUUGGGUCGUCUCUCUUUCUCUUUGUUUCAGAUUUGCUGAAGGAUUAUGCUCGAGGUGGAAUUCUCGCUGCUGUUGCAUACUCUUUGUCGGUUUGUUUUCUUUUUAUUUGCUCUGAUUUGAUUUUGUUUUAGUUCAUGUUUCGUGUUUGCUAUGAUUUGAUUUUGCAUCACUCUUUGUUGGUGUUGUUGGUGAUAGAGUACUUAUUUCACUUUUCUUUGUAACAAUAAAGUGUUUGUGUUAAACUAAAUUUUCAAUAUAAGUUUAAGUUAUUAAACUCUUUAAUUUUGUGGAUAGAUUGUUUGGUGGAGCUAAAUGCAUUUAGUUGUUGGGGCUAAAUGUAGCCAUUUAUUGGGAUUUGUUUUUGUUGGAGUGAUAACUUAAUUUCAUGUUAUCAAAGGUAGGAACAAGCAGAAAUAAAGCAAACUGUGAAAAAAGAGGAGUACUCGGCCACUUUAAGAAGCAUUUUCAUCUGGAAGAAAUAUAUUGCAAUAUCGGCAUCGAAGCAGACUCUCCUUACUCAUCAAACAGUCGUUUGGGAUACUCAGUUAGAAGGUAAAGGUCUUCUUGAUGUUAGCAUGGAUCUGAAUCAUUUCAAAGGUGCUUUUGAUUGGGUGGAAGCAAUAGGUCCUGUCGUACAAUACCUAAUGAUGGAGCUGAUAGGCUAAUACGAAUUUCUAUUAUACAAUAAUAUUUUUACUCAUGAUACUGAGAAUUAAAAAAAGUUUGUUGCAGACCCGUGAAGAAACCGUAAAAAAGUUGACGACUAAUCCUUUCAUAAACUAUGAACCAUGGUGUCAUUACGUGUAUUGUAAAUCAUAUAUUAGGUAGUCCAAUGCUUUUUGUGACGUGAUAAAAG
Molecule: long non-coding RNA, 1870 nt
Organism: Vicia villosa (hairy vetch)
Lineage: Eukaryota; Viridiplantae; Streptophyta; Magnoliopsida; Fabales; Fabaceae
Exons: 5
Source: RefSeq, a predicted model, not a curated record